CCAUCUAGUCGAAACUCAUGAUAGAGAGACUGAAUCACAUGUUAACUACAUCUAGAGGUUCAUUUCAAUUCUACUAGAUUACCACUACAUACUGCUAGGUGUCACUGGUGGAUUGUGAGAGCUCACUAGGAUUAUUUUAGAUCGACAAUCCUUGCCGAGUUAGAGUGGAAUUAUUCCGAUCCAUUGAAAAAAAUUUCAAUGAUAUAAUGAUAGAGAUCAUUAUAUAUCUCACUACCAGAUAAAAUUAAAUCUAUGGGGUCACACAACAAAGGAAUUAGGCUUGGAAUAAGAAAUUGAGCUUAUGAAGUGUCAAUUAGAUUUAGAGAAACCCAUUAGGUUCAUGGUAACCUUGCUAGCACAUGGUUGGACCUAAUUCCUCUUUUCGUUGGAAUUAUUUAUUUGAUAAGUUAAUUCUAACUUAAUUAUCUACUAAUUAUCUACAUGAAUAAGAUUCAUGAGACUUCAAUUGUUGGGUGUCUAAGGUUAUGGAUCAUAUAAAUUAAGGGUGCAAGUCCCUUAUGAAUCUUCUUGAUAGUUAUUAUGGGGUGCCACUUUGAAUUAUUCAAUUUGGGUGUGUCCAUUGAUUAGAGGGCCUUUAGUUCUCAUAUGGGAUGUCUCUUGGGUGCAAAAUAGGGUGUCUAAUUAUGAGUACAAGGGCUUCAAUAGUUGAUGCCUAAUGGGCUUCCUAAUGUAAGUUGGAUAACUUAAGUUAAUAAGAAUCCUAAUACAAGUAGGACUUGUAUUAUAUAAUUGAAUAAGAUUCAAUCUUUGUGCCUAUAAAAGAGGACCUCCCCUAAGAUCCUAAAAUCAUCCAAGCCAGCCCCUCUCCACCCCAAGAGAACCUCCCAUGCCCUCUCUUUCUCCUUUUUUCUCUUCUCCUUAGGCAUCCCCACGCCAUACUACUUGGGACGCACGUCCCAAGUUUUGCACACACCCAAGGCAUUGGGCGGCCCUUCAUCUGCUAGUUGUUGGUCUCUUAUAGUACUACAAGAUAAGGAGAAAGGUUAGAGAGGAAGAGAAGAUAAGAAUCAAAGAGAAAGAUCAAACGUUGAUCACAAUCCAAGCUUCGUUCAGAUUCAGCAAGCUGAAUUUUAGAGAAUCAAAAUUCAGAUCUUAGAGGACUGUUCCAAACUGAUCUUGAGUAGAUACUUAUAGAGGUUAGAUAUUUGUGUGGCUAACAGAAAGCCUCGUCUCUUCCAGAUCCAGAUUUUAAGAAAGAGAUUGCGAAAAAGGUAUGUAAUUUGAUCACAAUAUAAACUUCAGCAUAUAUCAAUUUCAGCAAAUGAAAUAGAUCC
Molecule: long non-coding RNA, 1295 nt
Filed under: Elaeis guineensis (African oil palm)
Lineage: Eukaryota; Viridiplantae; Streptophyta; Magnoliopsida; Arecales; Arecaceae
Description: long non-coding RNA (EGUI_LNC081490)
Source: RNAcentral